GUCAUGAGUUGAUUCUGGCGCUUCAUAGCUAACGAGGAGCUUCGAGAUAUGUAUCUGCACGGGCGCUGCUACACUUGGUCCAAUGAGCAUGAUACGCCAACCAUCAUGUGGAAUGAUAGGAUCCUUUGCACGUCCGGAUGGGAGAUCACCCACCCGCAUUGCCUGCUGCACUGUCUCUCAUUUGUAGCGUCUGACCACUGCCCGUUGGUUUUUAAUUGCACUGCUCGCCCCACGGGGGCAUGCAGAUUCCACUUCGAGCGCUUCUGGCCGAAGCUUGAUGGCUUCCACAACACGGUCUCAGAAGCCUGGAACUCAACUCCCCCGGAGGCGUACCCCUUCCGGUGUAUUGUGGCCCGCCUUAAGGCCACCGCGUGA
Molecule: ribosomal RNA, 375 nt
Filed under: Triticum aestivum (bread wheat)
Lineage: Eukaryota; Viridiplantae; Streptophyta; Magnoliopsida; Poales; Poaceae
Description: partial small subunit ribosomal RNA
Source: RNAcentral